Long non-coding RNA from Homo sapiens (human), 1039 nucleotides. Ensembl annotates it as long intergenic non-protein coding RNA 2805. The record is from Ensembl. Lineage: Eukaryota; Metazoa; Chordata; Mammalia; Primates; Hominidae.
CUUUCCAGACAGACUCCGGGGCCCUCAACUGGUCUCCGACCUUCCCCUGCAACCUGCGACACCUGCCAUUUUCCCAUCUUAGGCUCCAGAAGCAGAAUCAAGUGGGAUGUCUUGGAAGAAAAACAAACAAAAGGCCCACUAGGUGGAGUGAAAUGGAUCAGGAGCAAUUAUGUUCAAUUUCACCUUUAAGUUUUCUCAAAAGGAGGAGCAUUAAGAAUCAGCCACCUUAGUACAUACUUAAAGGCUAGCACACAUGAUUUUUUCUGCUUGCACUUCAGGAGAAGAUAGUCAUUGGACAAAAGGUGGGUCAUUCUCACGUUGACCAAGUUUCUGUUCCAGUAUCACCCUCCCAGUCCACAGGUCGAGAGGAACCAUACUUGAAGAAACAUACCUGAAGGGUUUCAUCCAUAUGUGGGCCUGAUUUGGAUGAUAAAAUCCUGCAUCUUGAGCCUGAUCUUGAUGCUGCCUGUGUUCUGAUGCCAUCAGGAGUUGAGAGUCUAGGGGUUUUAGAAAGGGUGAAUGUAUUUUCCCAUAGGCAAGGAACAUAAUCAAUGGCCAAAAUGUGCACUGUGACAGAUUAAAGGUUGCUACAAAUUCUCUGAUACCCUUCCAUUAAGAGGUAGGGCAGAUAUUCCCUCCCCUCAAAUCUGGGUGGGCUCCAUGACUUGCUUUGAUCAACAGAAAACGGCAGCAGUGAUGCUGGGCCAGUUGUUGGAUCCAGGCCUUAAGAACCAACAACUUCCACUUAAGUUCUCUUGGAACACUGAGUCCCUGACUACCCUAAUAUCAUGUUGGAAAGGCUACAUGUAGGCACUCUAGUUGCCAGUCCCAGCCAAGACCAGCUUUUCAGCCAUCCCCAUCACUAAAUUUGUAAAUGAAGCCAUCUGGAAUCUCCAGACCAGCUCAUUUGGCAGCUGGGUAUCAUCAAGUUAUCUCUGCUGACUCCACAUGGAACAAAGGAAUCACCCAGCUGAGCCCUAUUCAAACUAUUGACCAAAAAAAUAGUGAGACAUAAUAAAAUGAUGUUUUAAGCCAGUAA